Molecule: long non-coding RNA, 274 nt
Filed under: Homo sapiens (human)
Lineage: Eukaryota; Metazoa; Chordata; Mammalia; Primates; Hominidae
Description: LHRI_LNC1351.1
Source: RNAcentral
CAUUUGCUGACUGAAACUGAGUUCCAGAACCAUUGAAAGCUCACUCUAGAUCAAGGCAGGCCCUGUAUUUGGUAAAGCUUAAGGACUUUCAUUGCAUCACGAAUUAUUCAUUCAUUUAUUCAGCAAACAUUUACUGGGCACCUACUAUGUGCAGGACAGUUUGUUAGGUGCUGGGGACAUAAUAAUGAGCAAAGACAGGCAUGAUCUCAGCCCUUGGUGAGUUCAGGCCUUUGGAGGGUCUCCUAUGGGAGAUAAACACUAAUUAAAUAAUGAC